RNAcentral lists this small RNA (89 nucleotides) under uncultured Phytobacter sp. Its description in RNAcentral is "Tryptophan operon leader". It matches the Rfam family "Tryptophan operon leader". From Rfam's summary of the family: At least 6 amino acid operons are known to be regulated by attenuation. Lineage: Bacteria; Pseudomonadati; Pseudomonadota; Gammaproteobacteria; Enterobacterales; Enterobacteriaceae. The record is from RNAcentral.
GCUGGUGGCGCACUCCCUGAUCCGGGCUGUGUCUCCGUGCGUAUUCAGCACACCGAUACCUGGCCCGCCAUUUGAGCGGGCUUUUUUAU